CUCAUGACGAACGCUGGCGGCGUGCUUAACACAUGCAAGUCGAACGGAAAGGCCCUGCUUUUGUGGGGUGCUCGAGUGGCGAACGGGUGAGUAACACGUGAGUAACCUGCCCUUGACUUUGGGAUAACUUCAGGAAACUGGGGCUAAUACCGGAUAGGAGCUCCUGCUGCAUGGUGGGGGUUGGAAAGUUUCGGCGGUUGGGGAUGGACUCGCGGCUUAUCAGCUUGUUGGUGGGGUAGUGGCUUACCAAGGCUUUGACGGGUAGCCGGCCUGAGAGGGUGACCGGCCACAUUGGGACUGAGAUACGGCCCAGACUCCUACGGGAGGCAGCAGUGGGGAAUAUUGCACAAUGGGCGGAAGCCUGAUGCAGCAACGCCGCGUGCGGGAUGACGGCCUUCGGGUUGUAAACCGCUUUCGCCUGUGACGAAGCGUGAGUGACGGUAAUGGGUAAAGAAGCGCCGGCUAACUACGUGCCAGCAGCCGCGGUGAUACGUAGGGUGCGAGCGUUGUCCGGAUUUAUUGGGCGUAAAGGGCUCGUAGGUGGUUGAUCGCGUCGGAAGUGUAAUCUUGGGGCUUAACCCUGAGCGUGCUUUCGAUACGGGUUGACUUGAGGAAGGUAGGGGAGAAUGGAAUUCCUGGUGGAGCGGUGGAAUGCGCAGAUAUCAGGAGGAACACCAGUGGCGAAGGCGGUUCUCUGGGCCUUUCCUGACGCUGAGGAGCGAAAGCGUGGGGAGCAAACAGGCUUAGAUACCCUGGUAGUCCACGCUGUAAACGGUGGGUACUAGGUGUGGGGUCCAUUCCACGGGUUCCGUGCCGUAGCUAACGCUUUAAGUACCCCGCCUGGGGAGUACGGCCGCAAGGCUAAAACUCAAAGGAAUUGACGGGGCCCCGCACAAGCGGCGGAGCAUGCGGAUUAAUUCGAUGCAACGCGUAGAACCUUACCUGGGUUUGACAUGGAUCGGGAGCGCUCAGAGAUGGGUGUGCCUCUUUUGGGGUCGGUUCACAGGUGGUGCAUGGCUGUCGUCAGCUCGUGUCGUGAGAUGUUGGGUUAAGUCCCGCAACGAGCGCAACCCUUGUUCACUGUUGCCAGCACGUUAUGGUGGGGACUCAGUGGAGACCGCCGGGGUCAACUCGGAGGAAGGUGGGGAUGACGUCAAGUCAUCAUGCCCCUUAUGUCCAGGGCUUCACGCAUGCUACAAUGGCUGGUACAGAGAGUGGCGAGCCUGUGAGGGUGAGCGAAUCUCGGAAAGCCGGUCUCAGUUCGGAUUGGGGUCUGCAACUCGACCUCAUGAAGUCGGAGUCGCUAGUAAUCGCAGAUCAGCAACGCUGCGGUGAAUACGUUCCCGGGGCUUGUACACACCGCCCGUCAAGUCAUGAAAGUUGGUAACACCCGAAGCCGGUGGCCUAACCGUUGUGGGGGAGCCGUCGAAGGUG
Molecule: ribosomal RNA, 1434 nt
Filed under: uncultured organism
Description: SSU rRNA
Rfam family: Bacterial small subunit ribosomal RNA
Source: RNAcentral